RNAcentral lists this long non-coding RNA (2757 nucleotides) under Homo sapiens (human). RNAcentral describes it as "non-protein coding lnc-KIFC2-5:1". Lineage: Eukaryota; Metazoa; Chordata; Mammalia; Primates; Hominidae. The record is from RNAcentral.
AUUCCGGGAAGUACGGUCGGCCCGCCCGCGGCAUCCUCGGAGUUCUCGUGCGGGAGGAGCUGGGGCGGGGUGGCGGCGACAACUGGGGCGUCCCACCCUAGGGGCCGUCUUCCCGGACGCCGGGUUGGCCCGCGCGUGGAGCCCUCUGCCCGGCCCGGGGAGUGCCUGGUGGGGACCCCGUUCCUCCUCGUAGGCGGCGGGGACGCGGGAGGCCGGGGGCCCGGAGCCAGCCCGUCCGGGGUCGCAGCGCGCCCUGGGUGGGGUCUUCUGGGCUGCAGCCCCCGUGCCGCCCGCGCUACUCAUGGUGGACGAGCUGUGCCGCCGCCCCAAUUCCUCCCGAAAUUCACACACACAGCCUGCUCACAGGCGCAACUAUUAAAAACGAACGUAGUGUCCAGAUAGACUGACGAUAAAUUCACGAGCAUUUGGCUGUGGGGACGUAAUAAGGUGUCAGGCGCGCUCCUCCUCCGCAGAACGCAGCUGGGUCACAUUUGGGGACUCGGCCCCAAGGACUGUUUUGGGAGGGGAAUGUGCUUUCCAUAGUGAACAAGUAUUGUUUCAGCAAUGUGUAUGCCAGCUGUAUUCUCGGAAGAGUCAGUGAACCUGUGCUUCAGCUGCAGAAGUAGCCCGGGCACAGUGGCCCGCACUGUAAUCCGAGCGCUAUGGGAGGCCCGGUCAGGAGGAUCGCUUGAGCCUAGCAGUACGAGACCAGCCUGGGCAACAUAGUGAGGCCCCAUCUUUCGUGUGUGUGUGUGUGUGAGACGGAGUCUCGUUCUGUCACCCAGGCUGGCGUGCAAUGGUGUGAUCUCGGCUCACCACAACCUCCGCCUCCCGAGUUCAAGCGAUUUUCCUGCCUCAGCCUUCCAAGUAGCUGGGACUACAGGCGCGUGCCAGCAUGCCCGGCUAAUUUUUGCAUUUUAGUAGAGACGGGGUUUCACCAUGCUGGCCAGGCUGGUUUCAAACUCCUGACCUUGUGAUCCGCCCACCUCGGCCUCCCAAAGUGCCGGUAUUACAGGUGUAAGCCACCAUGCCCAGCCCGAUACCCCAUCUUUAUUUAAAAAAAAGAAAGGGAGGGAGGGAGGAAAAGAAAGAAAGGAAGAAAGAGAGGGCCGGGCGCAAUGGCUCACCCCUGUAAUCCCAGCACUUUGGGAGGCUGAGGCAGGCAGAUCAUGGGGUCAGUGGAUCGAGACCAUCCUGGCUAACACGGUGAAACCCCAUCUCUACUAAAAAUACAAAAAAUUAGCCGGGCGUGGUGGCGGGUGUCUGUAGUCCCAGCUACUGGGGAGGCUGAGGCAGGAGAAUGGCGUAAACCCGGGAGGCAGAGCUUGCAGUGAGCGGAGAUGGCGCCACUGCACUCCAGCCUGGGCAACAGAGCGAGACUCUUGUCUCAAAAAAAAAAAAAAAAAGGAAGAAAGAGAGAAAACAACUGCAAAAUUAUGUCUAGAAUCCUGUGACAUGGGGCACCCAGGCCUCUAAAAUACCCUUGCUAUCCCCCAUUACCUUGAGGACCAAACACCUGCCAUGCCUUGGGUAUCUGACUCCCGGCUACACAGCACACCCAGCACUGCACUCAGGUGCAGUGGCUGGUUUCCCAGAGGCCCCAGAGGAGGCUGGGUGCACAGAGUCCAACUGAGGAGCCUCAGGAGUGGAAGAUAGAUGAGUUAAUUUCCAUCGUAAUUACAGCAAGUCGUUGGGCAAAACUCAGCCAGAGAGAUCUGUUGGGGAGAGAGUGGUGUGAUGCACUGACAGGUCCCUGGGUCCAGUAAAGGCUGCUGGAGCCCUCCUCAGGCUGACGGCAGAGCGCUGGCCUCCUGGCGUGGCCCCUGGACUGGGCAGAUUUGGGCCUCGGUGCCUCCAAGGCUGCAGGGGUGGGACCAGGCCAAGCCUGCACACCUGUGCAGUCACAAGCUGCAGGAGGCAGGAAAUCCAGGCAGGCCUGGGUGUGAGGACAGGUUGUGGAGGUCUGCACUGCCAACCCCUUGCCCAUCCAAAGCAUGGCUCUGAGCCAAGGCAACUACUUGGAGGGCAAGCUGGUGAGGUGUGUGAGGGGCACAGUGAGGCUUGAGGGAGGGAGUGGGGAGUGAGAUUCAGAAUCAGAGGACUCAGAUGAACAGCUGAAGACAGGGUGGCUUGGACACCAGAGGGGCUCCCUGAGCUACCUGGACAACGAUUAAGUAUCCCCUUCAGCCCCAGGGUCCACAGGACAGCCCAGCUCCUGGAAGCCGAAUUCCCCUUCAGAGACAACCCAAUUUCUCUCUUUUUUUUUUUUUUUUUUCCGAGACAGAAUUUUGUUCUUGUUGCCCAGGCUGGGGCACAAUGGCGUGAUUCUGGCUCACUGCAACCGCCUUCUCUCAGGUUCAAGUGAUUCUCCUGCCUCAGCCUCUUGAGUAGCUGGGAUUACAGAUGCCCACCACCACGCCCAGCUAAUUUUUGUAUUUUUGUAGAGACAGGGUUUCACCAUGUUGGUUAGGCUGGUCUCGAACUCCCAACCUCAGGUCAUCCACCCGCCUCAGCCUCCCAAAGUGCUGGGAUCACAGGCGUGAGCCACCAUGCCCGGCUGACAACCCAAUUUCUCUGUGCCUGUUUCCCCAGUAACCAGACAAGGUACACACGUCAGGCAGUGCUGUGCAGGGCUGCAGGCCUGGUGCAGAUUGCCACAGGCUGAGGGCAGCAGGGGAGGCCAGCAGAGCCCAGAAGGCCCAGCUGUGUGUCUGUCUUCUGGUAAGGAAACACAGACAAAACAUGGGUUGGAAUAUU